UACGAAGGGCCCAAGCGUUAUCCGGAUUUAUUGGGCUUAAAGGGUGCGUAGGCGGGUUAUUAAGUCAGUGGUGAAAGCCUUCAGCUUAACUGAAGAAUUGCCAUUGAUACUGAUGAUCUUGAGUAUGAUUGAGGUGGGCGGAAUGUGUCAUGUAGCGGUGAAAUGCUUAGAUAUGACACAGAACACCGAUUGCGAAGGCAGCUCACUAAGUCAUAACUGACGCCGAUGCACGAAAGCGUGGGGAGCAAACAGG
RNAcentral lists this ribosomal RNA (253 nucleotides) under uncultured bacterium. Its description in RNAcentral is "partial 16S ribosomal RNA". It matches the Rfam family "Bacterial small subunit ribosomal RNA", at positions 524 to 776 of the family's 1533-position model. The record is from RNAcentral.